GAUGAACGCUGGCGGCGUGCCUAAUACAUGCAAGUCGAGCGAACAGACGAGGAGCUUGCUCCUCUGACGUUAGCGGCGGUCGGGUGAGUAACACGUGGAUAACCUACCUAUAAGACUGGGAUAACUUCGUGAAACCGGAGCUAAUACCGGAUAAUAUAUUGAACCGCAUGGUUCAAUAGUGAAAGACGGUUUUGCUGUCUCUUAUAGACGGAUCCGCGCCGCAUUAGCUAGUUGGUAAGGUAACGGCUUACCAAGGCAACGAUGCGUAGCCGACCUGAGAGGGUGAUCGGCCACACUGGAACUGAGACACGGUCCAGACUCCUACGGGAGGCAGCAGUAGGGAAUAUUCCGCAAUGGGCGAAAGCCUGACGGAGCAACGCCGCGUGAGUGAUGAAGGUCUUCGGAUCGUAAAACUCUGUUAUUAGGGAAGAAAAAAUGUGUAAGUAACUAUGCACGUCUUGACGGUACCUAAUCAGAAAGCCACGGCUAACUACGUG
This 497-nucleotide ribosomal RNA is filed under the name uncultured bacterium. RNAcentral's name for it is "partial 16S ribosomal RNA". It matches the Rfam family "Bacterial small subunit ribosomal RNA", at positions 28 to 507 of the family's 1533-position model. The record is from RNAcentral.